CAUUCACCAAACAAGCUACAUGGAAGGAAGAACAGCAAGCAGCCACAACCGCAAGAUCUACUCAACAAGUUUCUCCAAACACACAAAUGGUUUACAACCUGCUGAUGAUUUUGAAGAUCAACUGAAAUUAAACCAGCAAAGCUUCAAGUUGGAAAAAAAAAAAAAAGUUGAUCAAUUGGAAAUCGUUUCUUCAACAUAUUUCUCUUUUCGCUGCGCACCAAACAUUACCUGUCAAGAGUUGCACCAAAGUGCUGGACGUGUUUCAUGAGCAGGCCUUCAUGGCAGGGACACGUGAAGAGCGAGCCCUGCUUUAACACGCUGUGGAGACGUUCUUAUUCGUCAUGUCUCAUCACUCAUCGCCCGGCCGCGGAAAAUGGGACGUAAAUGUUUCUUGUGUUUGGCAUGAGCUUUGACAGCACUUAUUUUAAGUCCACUUGCCUUUAACUCAAGAAAUGGAGGUGUAUUAGCCUCGCGUAAACUAGUCAUGUACCGAAAAUACA
Entelurus aequoreus (snake pipefish) is the source of this 500-nucleotide long non-coding RNA. RefSeq lists it as uncharacterized. Lineage: Eukaryota; Metazoa; Chordata; Actinopteri; Syngnathiformes; Syngnathidae. The transcript is spliced from 3 exons. The record is from RefSeq and is a predicted model, not a curated record.